This is a long non-coding RNA of Balaenoptera acutorostrata (minke whale), 1528 nucleotides long. RefSeq lists it as uncharacterized. The transcript is spliced from 4 exons. The record is from RefSeq and is a predicted model, not a curated record. NCBI's taxonomy places the organism in Eukaryota, Metazoa, Chordata, Mammalia, Artiodactyla, Balaenopteridae.
AUAGGUAGCUUGUACAAGUUGCUUCGAUACCCUUUCUAUGGGUAAAGAUGAUCUUAUUUUUCUAUGCUUCUUUCAGAGGCCUUGGACUACUGAGUAUUUAUAAGGAAAUUUGUGCCCAGGCCAAGCUGGAUGUGGGGAAGGGGCUGGAAUCAGGACCCAGGCUUCCUUGGCCAACUAUUUCAAGCAAAUAAGAUUUCUGUUUAACUGCUAGAAACUUGACCAAGCUAUGUGAUCCUUAUAAAACCUUAGACGACUUGGGAGCCAGUAAGAAGAUGAAGUCUAACAGAUGUGGUUUUGGAUUAGCUGCUGACCUAAUAGCUGAUACCAAAUUAUACGGCAUCAAAGUGUAAAUGUAAUACCACAACCCUACUACCAGCUGUGACAUCUUUGGGUAACUGACCCUAGUGUGCGCUAUUUCCUCCACGAAUACAUGAGCUGAAAGCCCAGAUGGACUAAGACAAAGCCUGUCUUAAGGAGUGUUACCACACUGACUCCGUUUAUCUUGAAAACUGGGAAGAUAUGACCCCAGACAGAGGAGAAAACAGAUUUGGUGAUAAAGUGUUCGAAGAAAAAAGUCAGUUUAAAACUGUGGUCUGUCCAGAUCACUUGCCUUAUCUUUCUGUAAACUAAUUUUUAACGAAUAGCUGGUCUCUUUCAAAGAUGAGCAAUGACCAGGAAGACAUGCAUAAUUAGAGCAAUUUCCAGUUAAACAAGCUGUGUUUAUAUCCCCCCUCCCCAAAACCCUACUAAAAUGAUAGUAAAAGAAUAUAAAGAGGCCUAACCCCCACAGGAGUCAGGAGAUAUCAGGAGAGGAGAGAUUUCAACAAGUUUUUGAAAGACAGAGAUGGAGUAGUGAGAGGCAACUAAAUUAGCAAACUGGAGGAAAACAUUGUUUAAAGUGUAUGCUGACCCCAUGAAGGCAUCAGAUACUGUGUAAAGUGGGCAUGAGGCAUAGGGUGAAAACACCUGAAUGUUAGAUCAAAGGCCCCUUCCUCCACCUCUUAAAGCAAGAUGACUACCAGACCAAGCAGGAAAUUGUAGAUUCAGUCUACAGAAACUAAAUCUGAAAGAUGUUGCUGAUGUCAUGUAGAAUUAGAAACAAGGGAAUUAAGAAUAAGUCAGCCCUAUUGUAUGAUCCAGCAAUUCCACUACUAGGUGUAUACCCAAGAGAAUUAAAAACAUAUGUCCAGGGGAGGGAAGGGAUGAAUUGGGAGACUGGGAUUGACAAAUACAUGCUACUAUAUAUAAAAUAGAUAACUAAUAAGGACCUACGGUAUAGCACAGGGAACUCUUCUCAGUACUCCGUAAUGACCUAUAUGGGAAAAGAAUCUAAAAAAGAGGGUAUAAGGACUUCCCUGGUGGUCCAGUGGUUACGACUCCAUGCUUCCAUUGCGGAGGGCGCAGUUUCGAUCCCUGGUCAGGGAACUAAGAUACUGCAUUCUGCAAAACGCGGCCAAAAAAUGGAAAUAAAAUAAAAUAAAAAAGAGUGGCUAUAUGUAUAACUGAUACACUUUGCUGUACAACAGAA